Molecule: long non-coding RNA, 1978 nt
Organism: Equus caballus (horse)
Lineage: Eukaryota; Metazoa; Chordata; Mammalia; Perissodactyla; Equidae
Source: Ensembl
GCCUAGUCAACUGAGUGGGGUCUGGGGAGGGAUGGCCUGGAUUUAAAUCUCUGUUCCUCGGCUUGCUGGCCUCAUCACGUGAGAAGGUUGGGUAACUUCUGUAAACCGAAGCUUCCGGAUUUAGAAAACGGGAUUAAAAUUGCACAUACCUCCCCAAGGGUUUUGUGAGGAGGAAGGAGGAGAAUGAAGGUAAAGCCAGCUGCUGCACCAGAGGCUGGCUUCAGUGGAGCUGCCAGCCCGUAAGAGGCAGGGUCUCCAAGCCCAGCUGGAGGCGGUGGUCAGAGUGUGCAGGCCCAGGCAGGCCUGCGCAGAGCAACAGAGCACUUGGCCUUGAAGGGACCAUCUGAUGAGGCUUGUAGCUUGUGGUGAGGAGGCAGGUUAGGGCCCGCGUGGCCUCCCCGGAGCAGAGGAGCCGCAGGGCGGCCGACAGAAGCUCCUCUGGAAAAGGAAUCCAUCCAGCCUGGUUCUGAACCCAAAACAGUCUCCCUCCCUUGGGACAGGAGGAGCAUGGCGGCCCCUCUGCAUGACGCAGACUCCUAGACCAAGGCAAGGCUCCUCCUAUGCAUGCAGCUCCCAGCGUCUCCGCCCGUGGGGGUAGGAGAGGCCUUGGGGCUUCUCUGGAAACUACCAGAGUGAGCUGGGUGUCAAGGGCUAAGGAGGGAGGAGGCCUCUGGGCAGGAAGCACGGGACUCCUGGUGCCCAGCCACACCCAGGCAGGCGGCCCUCGUGCCUGGCUGCUGCCCAGACCUCUACCAAAGGCCAGCCCUUCCCUAGCAGUGUGGUUUAUUUUUUUCUUUGAAUCACCAAUAACAGGGCAGCCUUCUGCAGAGGCUUCCUGAAGCCCACCUUUACAUCUCCAAGGCCAAAGUCCAAACUCCUUGGCCUGGCAGCCAGGUCCCUUACCACCUGGGCCUGCCUGGCUCUGUGAAACCGAGCCCCUGUAGCUCCUCUGCCUCCCCUCACCUUCCCUUCGUGCUGGCUGGUCUCUGCACCGGGAAGUGCACUUGCUUCCACACCUCCAGGCCCAGUGGUUCCAGAACUUCAGUAAAUACGAGGCUCCUUCAAAGAGAAAAGGCUGAUACAGCUCAAGCCUAUCAAGCCAAGCCCGGCACUUGUGGAGUCCCCGCCAGGACUUGAACGCCAUCUCGUCCUCCAAACUGGGCUUGGCAUUAUUAUUAGCUCCAUUCUGCAGCUGGGGUUUCUGAAGCCAAAGCCAAAGAGCUGGUUGCUGCCACCUCCUUCUCAACAGCACGUAUCUCCCAAGUCCCAGGGCACACUCCGGCCUCCCCACUGCGUGCAAGGACCUUGGGUGCCGGGAGCAGGAGCUCGGCAACCAGAAAUCUCAGCUUUGGGCCGUGCAUGGAGAGGCUGGGUGAUGAACUGGGUCAAGGAUGGGCCCCCAGCGCUGGCGCACGGUUCCUCCACCCCUACCCCUUCCAGCAGCCUCUCUCUGCCUGGACAUCUGCAGGCCAAGGAGCCCAGCGCUUACCCCCUCCCUGUGCUGCACAGACCACUCAGGGGUCCCGUGGGUUCCUGCUGUGACUGGCCCAUGCAGGUCCUCUUGCACCCCAGCAGUUUUGCAGACGAAACAACAUGCAGAGAAGCAAACGGGAAAAAAGGCAAAUGGUAUCAGUGCUUCUGCUAUGUGUCAGUCACUGCAUCACCUUAUUAAUCCUACAACGUGCCGUGUGUCAGUCACUACACCAUCUUAUUAAUCCUACAACGUGCCGUGUGUCAGUCACUACACCAUAUUCUUAAUCCUACAACAUGCCAUGGGUCGGUCACUACACCACCUUAUUAAUCCUACAACAUGCCAUGUGUCAGUCACUACACCAUCUUAUUAAUCCUACAACAUGCCGUGUGUCAGGUCACUUACACCAUUUUGUUAAUCCCCUACAACAACCACCUCUUUAUCAAGGAAUAAACCAGAGCCUGGACUAGGUCAAGUUCCCAAGGUCACACAGCUGAUAGAGGGCCA